AAAGUUUCCUUCGGGAGACAAGUAGAGUGGCGCACGGGUGAGUAACACGUAGGUAAUCUACCUUUGGAUGGGGAAUAACAACCGGAAACGGUUGCUAAUACCGCAUAAUGCAGCGGCACCUAAUGGUGACAGUUGUUAAAGCGGGGGAUCGAAAGACCUCGCGUCUAAAGAGGAGCCUGCGGCGGAUUAGCUAGUUGGUAAGGUAACGGCUUACCAAGGCGAUGAUCCGUAACCGGCCUGAGAGGGCGGUCGGUCACACUGACACUGACAUACGGGUCAGACUCCUACGGGAGGCAGCAGUCGGGAAUUUUGGGCAAUGGGCGAAAGCCUGACCCAGCAACGCCGCGUGAAGGAUGAAAUCCCUCGGGAUGUAAACUUCGCAAGAACAGGAAGAAUAAGUAAGGGUUAAUACCUCUUAUGAUGACGGUACUGUUUGUAAGCUCCGGCUAACUCCGUGCCAGCAGCCGCGGUAAUACGGGGGGAGCAAGCGUUGUUCGGAUUUACUGGGCGUAAAGGGCGCGUAGGCGGCCUCCGCAAGUCAGUUGUGAAAUCUCCGGGCUUAACCCGGAAAGGUCAACUGAUACUGCGGGGCUAGAGUGCAGAAGGGGCAACCGGAAUUCUCGGUGUAGCGGUGAAAUGCGUAGAUAUCGAGAGGAACACCUGCGGCGAAGGCGGGUUGCUGGGCUGACACUGACGCUGAAGCGCGAAAGCUAGGGGAGCGAACGGGAUUAGAUACCCCGGUAGUCCUAGCCUUAAACGAUGAAUGCUUGGUGUCUGGGGUUUUAUAGUCCCCGGGUGCCGUCGCUAACG
This 810-nucleotide ribosomal RNA is filed under the name uncultured Actinomycetes bacterium. RNAcentral describes it as "bacterial SSU rRNA". It matches the Rfam family "Bacterial small subunit ribosomal RNA", at positions 70 to 857 of the family's 1533-position model. Lineage: Bacteria; Bacillati; Actinomycetota; Actinomycetes. The record is from RNAcentral.